Molecule: ribosomal RNA, 1326 nt
Filed under: Triticum aestivum (bread wheat)
Lineage: Eukaryota; Viridiplantae; Streptophyta; Magnoliopsida; Poales; Poaceae
Description: partial small subunit ribosomal RNA
Source: RNAcentral
AUGGAAGAAGAGGCAAUUAAGUUCUACCAGCACCUCUUUACAGCUGACCUUCAUACUAGGCCGGAAAGGAUUACAGAAGUUAUUCAAAACAAAGUCACAAAUGUGAUGAAUGAGAGACUUUGUGCGCCAGUGACUGAUGAGGAGAUAGAAAAUGCAUUGUUUAUGAUGCAUCCCAGUAAGUCCCCUGGACCUGAUGGGUUUACGGCAGGUUUCUAUAUUCGGCACUGGAGUUUAUUGAAUCCUUCCAUAUGCGCGGCGAUAAGAUCAUUUUUUGAGACGGGUAAUAUGCCAGAGGCAAUUAACAAAACUGUACUAGUUUUGAUUCCAAAGAUAAAAGCUCCACAAGAUCUAAUGCAGUACAGGCCAAUUUCCUUGUGUAAGGUGCUUUAUAAAAUCGUGUCAAAGGUGAUGGCGAUCAGGUUGAGACCAAUCCUUGAUGAAAUUAUCUCUGAGGAGCAAAGUGCAUUUGUUCCAAACCGGCUUAUUUCAGACAAUGUGCUAACUGCAUAUGAAUGCAUUCACUAUCUGAAAAGAAAAAAGGGGAAGUCAGGAGCUUGUGCUAUCAAGCUUGAUAUGGCAAAAGCCUAUGAUAGGGUAGAGUGGCCUUAUCUUCGGGCAGUUCAAGCAAAACUUGGAUUUGCUGAUCAGUGGAUUGACAGAAUUAUGGCCUGUGUGGAAUCGGUGUCCUUCUCUGUUCGUGUCAAUGGGGUUUUCUCGGAGUCUUUUAAACCCACUCAUGGUAUUAGACAAGGCGACCCAAUUUCACCUUACCUGUUUCUUUUAUGUGCCGAGGGAUUAACAUGCUUGCUGAAAUCUUAUGGAUCUGCUCAUUUGCGUAAAGGAAUCAGGGUGGGUAUUCACGCCCCUUGGGUGUCACAUUUACUUUUAGCUGAUGACUGUCUGGUUUUUACUCAGGCAACAAGUGAUGAGGCAGCAAGACUGAAUGAAAUACUUGAGAUAUAUAAAGAAGGGUCAGGUCAGAGGGUUAACAAGACCAAGUCUGCAAUAUUUUUCAGCACAAACUGUAGUGAUGAAAUGAAAGUUGAAACUCAUAGUAACUCGGGCAUUGGGAUAGAAGCGUUAAUUGAGAAAUAUCUCGGUCUACCUACGGCAUUAGGAAGAUCAUCUGAUAGUCAGUUCGAACAUGUGGUAGUCCAAAUCAAGAAAUUGGUUAAUGGUUGGGCACCUAAAUUAAUGAGCAGUGCAGCCAGGGAAGUGCUCAUUAAAUCUAUAUGUCAAGCAAUACCAACUUACUCAAUGGGUUGUUUCAGGCUAUCCAAAAAAACAUGCAAAAAGAUCACUAGCAUUGUGGCAAAGUUCUGGUGA